UACGGAGGAUGCGAGCGUUAUCCGGAUUUAUUGGGUUUAAAGGGUGCGUAGGCGGAUCGUUAAGUCAGUGGUCAAAUUGAGGGGCUCAACCCCUUCCCGCCAUUGAAACUGGCGAUCUUGAGUGGAAGAGAAGUAUGCGGAAUGCGUGGUGUAGCGGUGAAAUGCAUAAAUAUCACGCAGAACCCCGAUUGCGAAGGCAGCAUGCCGGCUUCCUACUGACGCUGAAGCACGAAAGCGUGGGGAUCGAACAGG
This 252-nucleotide ribosomal RNA is filed under the name uncultured bacterium. Its description in RNAcentral is "partial 16S ribosomal RNA". It matches the Rfam family "Bacterial small subunit ribosomal RNA", at positions 524 to 776 of the family's 1533-position model. The record is from RNAcentral.